GACGAACGCUGGCGGCGUGCUUAACACAUGCAAGUCGAACGGAAAGGCCCUGCUUGCAGGGUACUCGAGUGGCGAACGGGUGAGUAACACGUGGGCGAUCUGCCCUGCGCUUCGGGAUAAGCCUGGGAAACUGGGUCUAAUACCGGAUAGGAGCCAUUUUUAGUGUGAUGGUUGGAAAGUUUUUUCGGUGUAGGAUGAGCUCGCGGCCUAUCAGCUUGUUGGUGGGGUAAUGGCCUACCAAGGCGGCGACGGGUAGCCGGCCUGAGAGGGUGGACGGCCACAUUGGGACUGAGAUACGGCCCAGACUCCUACGGGAGGCAGCAGUGGGGAAUAUUGCACAAUGGGCGCAAGCCUGAUGCAGCGACGCCGCGUGGGGGAUGACGGCCUUCGGGUUGUAAACUCCUUUCGCUAGGGACGAAGCUUUUUGUGACGGUACCUAGAUAAGAAGCACCGGCUAACUACGUG
Molecule: ribosomal RNA, 465 nt
Filed under: uncultured bacterium
Lineage: Bacteria
Description: partial 16S ribosomal RNA
Rfam family: Bacterial small subunit ribosomal RNA
Source: RNAcentral